RNAcentral lists this ribosomal RNA (482 nucleotides) under uncultured bacterium. Its description in RNAcentral is "partial 16S ribosomal RNA". It matches the Rfam family "Bacterial small subunit ribosomal RNA", at positions 30 to 507 of the family's 1533-position model. The record is from RNAcentral.
AUUGAACGCUGGCGGCAUGCCUUACACAUGCAAGUCGAACGGUAACGGGCCUUCGGGUGCCGCCGAGUGGAGCACGGGUGUGUAAUACAUCGGAACGUGCCCGAUCGUGGGGGAUAACGAGGCGAAAGCUUUGCUAAUACUGCAUACGACCUAUGGAUGCAAGCAGGGCACCGCAAGGCCUUGCUGGGGCGGAGCGGCCGAUGGCAGAUUAGGUAGUUGGCGGGAUAAAAGCUCACCAAGCCGACGAUCUGUAGCUGGGCUGAGAGGAUGAUCAGCCACACUGGGACUGAGACACGGCCCAGACUCCUACGGGAGGCAGCGGCGGGGAAUUUUGGACAAUGGGCGCAAGCCUGAUCCAGCCAUGCCGCGUGCAGGAUGAAGGCCUUCGGGUUGUAAACUGCUGUUGUACGGAACGAAAAGCCUUCUUUUAAUACAGGAGGGUCAUGACGGUACCGGAAGAAUAAGCACCGGCUAACUACGUG